Molecule: ribosomal RNA, 254 nt
Filed under: uncultured bacterium
Lineage: Bacteria
Description: partial 16S ribosomal RNA
Rfam family: Bacterial small subunit ribosomal RNA
Source: RNAcentral
CACGUAGGGGGCGAGCGUUGUCCGGAUUUAUUGGGCGUAAAGAGCUCGUAGGCGGCUCAGUAAGUCAGGUGUGAAAACUCCAGGCUCAACCUGGAGACGCCACCUGAUACUGCUGUGGCUAGAGUCCGGUAGGGGAGCAUGGAAUUCCUGGUGUAGCGGUGAAAUGCGCAGAUAUCAGGAGGAACACCAGUGGCGAAGGCGGUGCUCUGGGCCGGAACUGACGCUGAGGAGCGAAAGCAUGGGGAGCAAACAGG